GACGAACGCUGGCGGCGUGCUUAACACAUGCAAGUCGAACGGUGAAGCGCCUUCCUUUUUGGUGGGUGUGGAUGAGUGGCGAACGGGUGAGUAACACGUGAGUAACCUGCCCCCUUCUUCUGGAUAACCGCAUGAAAGUGUGGCUAAUACGAGAUAUUCUGGGUCUGUCGCAUGAUGGGUCUGGGAAAGAUGUUGUGUCGGUGGGGGAGGGGCUCGGGGCCUAUCAGCUGGUUGGGGGGGUGAUGGCCUACCAAGGCGGGGAGGGGUCGCCGGCCUGAGAGGGUGGACGGUCACACAGGGUCUGAGACACGGUCGAGACUCCUACGGGAGGCAGCCGUGGGGAAUAUUGAACAGUGGGCGAAAGCCUGAUGCGGCGGCGCGGCGUGAGCGAUGGCGGCCUUCGGGUUGUGAACCUCUUUCGCCAGUGAAGCAGGCCUGCCUCGUUUGUGGGUGGGUUGACGGUAGCUGGAGAAGAAGCGCCGGCUAACUACGUG
Molecule: ribosomal RNA, 494 nt
Filed under: uncultured bacterium
Lineage: Bacteria
Description: partial 16S ribosomal RNA
Rfam family: Bacterial small subunit ribosomal RNA
Source: RNAcentral